This 214-nucleotide long non-coding RNA is filed under the name Ananas comosus (pineapple). RNAcentral's name for it is "long non-coding RNA (ACOM_LNC041394)". Lineage: Eukaryota; Viridiplantae; Streptophyta; Magnoliopsida; Poales; Bromeliaceae. The record is from RNAcentral.
CCGAGGACGUAGGCCGUUGGCCGAACCACGUAAAUUUCGGUAUGCUAUUUUUUUAUCUUAUUUCUUCUUGCAUUAAGUUAUUUACUGAAUCUAUUUUUCGUCAUUCCGGAUUUUAACAGAGAAUAUAUAAUCAAGUUUCAAAAGACGAAACUUUUUGUAAGGUGGGAGUGAUGUAGAAUCCGAGAUUUUAUGUAUGAGAUUUGUAAUUUUGGGU